Molecule: ribosomal RNA, 407 nt
Filed under: uncultured bacterium
Lineage: Bacteria
Description: bacterial SSU rRNA
Rfam family: Bacterial small subunit ribosomal RNA
Source: RNAcentral
UAGCCUUGACAUUGAUAGAAUACACCAGAGAUGGAGUAGUGCCUUUCGGGGAACUUGAAAACAGGUGCUGCACGGCUGUCGUCAGCUCGUGUCGUGAGAUGUUGGGUUAAGUCCCGCAACGAGCGCAACCCUCGUCCUUAGUUGCCAGCAGGUUAAGCUGGGCACUCUAAGGAGACUGCCUUCGUAAGGAGGAGGAAGGUGAGGACGACGUCAAGUCAUCAUGGCCCUUAUGGCUAGGGCUACACACGUGCUACAAUGGGGCGUACAGAGUGUUGCGAUACCGCGAGGUGGAGCUAAUCACUUAAAGCGUCUCUCAGUUCGGAUAGCAGUCUGCAACUCGACUGCUUGAAGCUGGAAUCACUAGUAAUCGUAGAUCAGCAAUGCUACGGUGAAUACGUUCCCGGGUC